GGUAGUGAAUGGUCCCUGUCCCAGACGCCUGGGUUCUAUAUUCUCAGAUCUUAUACAUACAGUCCCUGGUCAUCGAAUUAGGAUCAUGUACGAAAAUUUCACUUUUAUGGCUAUAAUAGUAUGUCAUAUAUGGAAAAUUCAAAUUAUUACUAAAUACGUCGAUAACCAAGUAUACAUUGCAAUAGAUUUGUUACUAUUGCGAUGAAAAUGAAAUUAUGUAGGCGAUGAGCUAUUAAGACUCAAAAGACUUGUUUACGACUCUCCAAGCACCACAUUAUCUGAGUUGAAAACAAAAAUGACAGAUAUUUGGGAAAAAACGAAGAUAUAAAUAGCAUAUGAUAAAGCUGUCAUCAAAGCAAAAGGUGGAAAUACGAGAUAUUAAUAUGUGUUAAUAAUGUUUUGUACAGUAGUAGUGUACUUUUAAUUUAAUUUUAAUUUUAAUUUUACGGAAAACGUGAAAAAUGCUAAAAAUUUGUAAUGGUCCUAAUUCGAUGGCCAGGGACUGUAUAUUUACGAGGCCCAUGAUGGAGCACUUGCGAGAAAGGAUGGAGUUACACGCGCGACACCUUGCGGCCGUCACGGGAAAAAGGCCCAAGGCGCCUGGGCGCCAUACUCCGCUUAUAACCCCCAGAAAUACAACUCCGUUUGUACAAUCUCCUGCGUAUAUUUCGCGCUCCUCUCAAAACGUGCCAAUCAGGACUGACUUUCCUCGCGAGGAAAAGUCCUCUUGCUCCGAAAAACCCCGAAUCCUUUAGGACUACUCGACCAACAUCUGGUGCAAUUAGCUUUCGGUCGUCGUCACCGGAUUUUCUACAAAUAUUUUGACAUUUCCUCUCGAUAACGUGUCAACGACGAAUGCUAAUUAGAGAGGUCGAAACGUUGAUUAAAUCUACAGAAGGAAAGAAUUCUGUUCUAACGAAUAGAGCGGCGACAGGAACGGGACUCGGCACGGUUUAUUUUCAGCCAAUUAGCCGCGGUUCGAAAGCGUCCAUGAACGAAUGCGUAUCAAAAGUGAAAAUUGAAUGAAUCCAGACGCGGCUUUCCGCGGCGUCGACUCGAUUAACGUCCAACGUAUUGUACGCGAUCGAGAUUAUCGGCAACAUAAUGAUCCUUAUUAACGCGGUAUUAGCACGCGUAUCUGGCGAGUUGCACGCAUCGCGAUUAACCCGCGCAAACGCGUGCACACAUACCUUUCCGCGCAUCGUCUCUGUUUCUCUCGGUUCGUCUCGUUGACAAAAUGCCUUUUGUCAGCCGGUCUACUGGCAAACAUGAGUUUAACUUGACGAGGCUUCGUUGCAACGAAACCGACCGAGAGAAAAGAGCUUCGGCGAGGUAGAGGGACGGGGUGGAGGCGCAACGAACGUAGGAAGGGGAGUGGAUGAACGACAAGGGUCAGCUGAUAGCAGACAAUUAUCUCUCAGUUUAACUCGAGCGAUCCGAGCCUCUGGCCGCGAUGUUGUAAAACAUUAUUGCGUGUACCGGGGAUCGAUCGUGCUAGCGAAAUCGGUUCGGCUAUCCCGGAAAAUGGAAAUUCCUGACGGUUAAUUGAAAUUCUUUUCUUCCUUACUUUCUUUUUCCGUUUGACAGUAAUAAUUAAAAGCACGGGAACAUAUUUUUCAACGAAUACGUUGAAAUUGUGAAAUAGAUGAAUACGGUGAAGAUAAUAUCGUUGAAAAUAAAAUGACCAACUAGUAGGAUCUGUUGUAAUAAUUCAGCUCCAUUGUGAUAGUGCUUCGUAGUGUGUAACACCGUGCAGCAAUUUCGAGUCUGUUUUGGAUAUCGCGUACCCCGGGUCCAGAAAACAGCUGGCCCGAGAAGGAAGGUCACCAACCAUGGAAUAUAAUUAGUACGCCACUUAUGGACCGCCAGGCCGGCUAUGGGUCCACAGAAAACAUGCUCGCUACGUGGCACACACGGUGGAAGUACUUGGAAAUCGGCCUUUGUGCGAACACGUGUGAACCCACGGACGACCGUGUUUCCUUCUUCAACGGGGCCUCCUUCCUUCCUCCUGCACGGCCACGAAAGGAACACUGGGAAAUGGUCGAUGGACGGUCGGAAAAACUUUCAAGGGGAACCAGCUUUUUUUCUUUUCUUUCUUUUUUUUCAGAAACGUUUGACACGUGAAGGCCUUCCUGUUGCUCCCUUUAUCGGACCAUCCAGUUUAUUUAAUCGCUGCAAGCAACGAGUCGUCAUUUUCCGCGUAUCGUGUAUCGUUUGAAGGAUGUAGCAAUCGUGCGCGCGUAUAAUUAUAUAGCUUCGCGUUAAAGCAUUUGCAUCAGACGCAGAUACAUCGGUUCAAUUCGCUUAAUCAUUGUCAGGGAGGUGGUUAUAUCCGCUCGUAAUAGUUCCAUAUAUAGGAAUAUUUUUCAUAGCAUUAACAUACGCUAUGAAUAUUUUUCAUAGUCGACAGUUAUUCGGAAUACGAUUAUUUCCUUCUGAUCGACGUCGGUCUGAAGAAGAGGAAAAUGGAUCCAAUAGAAACCGUGUAUAUCCUUCGAGUCCUCCGAGGAUGCAAAUGGAUUAACCAUAGCGAAAGAUCGUCCAAAGGUUUAAGAAACAACGAAAGAUCGUCCAAUUAACUUUCCGCCUUUUAAUUGAAUCUUAUCCCCUUUCUCGCUCGGUUCGCCCAGUUUCAUCGAGCUUCUCUCCAGUUAAUCGUAAAAGUCAAAAGUUUGCUCGAGAGUAGCUUCGACAAAGGUAAUUGAAAUCUCGAGUACACGGGACGAUUAAUUGCGGCUGAGACGAGGAGCAGAACAUUUCGGCGCACGGGCUCGGCUCGGUUUCUUCGACAGCUUGCAAAUUGCCGCGUCGAGUGGCACCGCGAAUAUCGUGUAAACAGGGACCGUUGGCGAAUGCUCGUCGAGACACGGGGUAUUCUUUCAAAUUUUUCAGACAAUUCGUUCCACCGCUGGAUGAGAACAAGCCUCUGCCGAAAGAAGAGGAAGAAGAGGAAGAAGAGGAAGAAGAGGAAGACGAAGCAAUUCCUUCGGACGUCGAGACGAAGGUACCCAGGUAUUCUUUUUAAGGCGGAACACUUUACUGCUGCUCGUUCCACGCUGGUAAUGGAGAAUCCCCCAGCCGCCCUGAGGAAUUAAUUCGGGGCUAACGCCGAGACACUCCCCGAUAUCGAGUCACUUUCCUCCCACGAAGCCGGCGUUAGUAUCUCGCUCGCCACCCUCUCGGUUAACUUUUCACCGUACUCCCUUGGCCACUUGGACCCGGACCCGGAACCGACGUUUUUCUUCCUUUUUUGUCCCGUUCACUGGAACGAUUUCUAAUUUACCCUCUAAUUUGCUCGUGAUCCUCGGAUCCGUUUAACUAGGUCAUUUAAAACAGAACCAAAAAAAAAAAAGGAAGUUUCCGUUACCUCGUACAUUAACCCUGGCCGUGUUUUUGGCCACGGUUUUCGCCAUCAAUUGUAUCUUUAAGCGGUCGCGCUCUUUAUUACCGAGAAUCGUAAUUUCCAAGAUAAACAAACUCUUGGCGACGUUCCACGCGAAUUAAGAGUGGCUCGGUAUUGCGGAGCUUUUAAUUAGCCUGAAAAAAAGAAUCGCCCGGAAGUGGCGGCCUAAAUUUUGCAGUUAAAGCUCGCCGCGUUCGAGUGUGCCGAAUAGUGGCGCGAUUACCGUACCGGUUGAAAAAGAUUUAUCGCUUAAGAAACCGUGUCGUCAUUCAAAGUAGCGAGGAAAUCGAGCGGAACGUACGUUUUUACAAGAUUCUUGGCGCGGUUCCUAGUCCUACCACCCCUCCUGGCCUCCCUCCCAUUCUAUCGCUCGAUUCCGAGAACAUUUACACAGGAGAAUAUCCAGGUAACAAAUACUUUCAUUAAUCAAGCGUUCGAGCAAUUCGUCUGUUUCUCUGUGCAAUUAGAAGCAAGCGGCAUUUAACAAUCCAUCUUUCGCAAAGCGUAUUUUUCUCCCCCUAGGGGUGACGCGGGAACGUCGAAGGAAGGGAAUCGAAAAGGGGCAUCGGCAUCGUGGCCCAGGGUGUCGUCUCCUAGAGCAUCUUUAGCAGCGGACGUACGAAGCGCGCGCAAAAGAGAUGAACGCGAGGACGAGGGCGGCCAGCGUCGAGUGAGAGAGAAUGAGAGGGGAAGAAACGACGACCGGGAAAGAGAGGGAAAUUCAAAGAUGGCGCCACGCAUAUACUCGUGAGAGAGAGAGAGGGGUGACGGGUUACGCGAGAGAGACGAUGACUCUCCGCUUCCUUCCCCUCUCGCUUCAACCACGACUGACCGAGCUGAAAGGUCCGAAUCCGAUCGUCGAAUGGUUCAGUAGUGCGCGAGACACAUUUCGUGUAACGUGUUUCGCUUCCUCUCGCUAUUGGCCGAUGAUUCACGAACGUUGCCGCAAAAUUGACGGAGGAUACACCGCGGACCAAUCCCUGAUUCCGUUACAUCAGCAUCCGACUCCGUGGGUCCUCGACGAUUGGCUCUUUUCGCGGAUGCGUUCGUUGAUGUUUCAUCCGUCGUCGUCUCGAGAGUGCUGCCCGCUAGUCUCAUGUUUCCUGGUGUUAUACUUUCGACCGGUAUAACGUGCGAAUCGAGUGUGUGUUCAAUCGUGCUUCCUAGACGAGAGAUUAGCGAGAGAAAGAAACCGGGGACGCGACGUACCCUACGUACCGGGCGAUGAGCCCCAGGGAGAGAAAGAAAGGGCGAGGAGAGAAGGAGAGAAGACACACGGGGUAUUUUGGACGCAGAUCGAUCAGCCGCAGCCGCUCUCCGGUUCGCGCCAUGUGACCGGUCAAAGACCAGUCUGUACGGGAUUGGAGGUUAGAAAAUAAGAUUUAUCGAGGGACAGUGUCAGUAAAGCGCGAGCGAGCAACCGAAGUGGUGGUCAUCGGUUCUCGUUCGGUAGUGUGUUCUUCGACGUGUUGUGCGGAUGCCGGGGUUUGAAGUUCGGUCUAGAGGGGAAAGAGAGACUCCGGCUGCUGCGAAUGUCGUUGUCUCGGGUCAGAUGUAAAAAUAAAAGGAAGCAGACAUGUCUCAAGGCUAUCGGACCGCAUAUUGUCUCGGCCAGGAGCGUAAAAUCACGCGGUCGUCUCCCUGGCUAUAUCGUUCGUUCCUCGUUCCGUUGGAUGGUACGCGCCCGCGCUCUUCUCUUCUCACCAUUGUGUUGCACAAUACGAAUAAUAACGUAACGCUGAUUUAACGAAGUAACGCCGUUGCUUCGUACGAUUCCUUGAUAAUGAGACAACGUAAACCGUGCCGGUUCGUUAUCGUGAACGUUUAAACCUUCGCGUCUAUUUUUACGGCGCGUCGAUACAACGAACCGCUUAAUUGCUCUGUUGAUAAACCUUGCCCGACGCGUAGGACCUGUAAUCGGUCGGGUUUUUGGUUCGUUUUUUGUACGAAACAUGCUUUCAGCGAGUCUUUUUUGUUUCUCUCUUUGGGUGACGAAACAAAAGAACGAAAGAAAAAGGAUCGUACGAGCCUGAAAUUCUAUAGGAUAUAUCGAGUUUGUGUGUUGCGCUUGUAUCGUUAGAACCGAUGCAUAGUUACAACUUUAUCGAAUGAUCGAUACCCGUGGAAGGUUAACGAUUGCGUGCUUCAAACGUUUUUUUAAUGUUUAUUGUUUUUGUAAAAUGCUUACAGAAGUUUGGUAGAAAAAUGUUAUCUUGUUUUGCAUAGAUUUUGAAGCACGUGUAUGUCAUAGUUUCACGGUGAACCACGUGUCUCCGUAGCGCUGCAGUAAAUCUUCUGCGAUGCUGGAUCUUGGUCCAUUUCUAUAGAAUAGAUUUGCAAAAUGUUUCGAAAACGUUUUGAUGAAUGUUAGUCUGUUAUAGCAAUGGAAAGCUCCCGUCGAUAAGAAGAGUAUAAGCUGAAAGCGACGUAUUAAAAAUUAAUCCAACGAUUAACGAUUGGAUGCAAGAACCGAGUGUAUUAAUUAUAAAACAGUCUCGAAAUGGUGGAAUAUCGGGAAGCUUUUAGUGGUUAUAUAUCGUGCAGUUCAUAGAUAACGUACUUAUCUAGGAAACCGAGAUUUGCCUACAAAAACUUGGACUAUUUUAGAUUAAUUUAAGCCGUUUUGAAAGUGUUGUGUAGGAGAUAUACCGCUUGUACAAAGUGCGUCUGGCAUACCACGUAAUCGAAAAUACUUGUAUUUUCGCAAUUUAGAAUCGUUCAAAUCAACGAGAAAAUUGAAGCCCGACGAGGUGGAUAAAACUGGGUCACAUUCGACUACUGAUUUCUGAAUUCACUGUCGUUGCAAAGUAACAACGUCGUUGAAAUCGAUAUCAAUUAAGCAAGGCUGAUCGUACUUGCUGGAAACCCCAUAAAGAGUAACCCCAUUAACAUGUUGACUGUCGUGAGGGUCACUGAUGACAGGCGGUACAAAUUUAAUAUUGCAAAUUUAAUUGAAUAGUCGAAGAAUAGACAAGAAAUUUUUAAUGAAACUUUAAGCAAAAACAUUAAAUUUGUGUUGCACAACAUUAGGGGCAGUCAACGUGUUAUCCAUAGUUUCCAAUAUUCAGAAAUUAAACACUACGUUUGUACAUCUCUUGUAAGCAUUGCAGACGAAAACUAGCGAGUCUGGACCAAGGUUAGAAGAUAGCGCGUGUUGUAUAAUAGCUACACGAGCUUGAUUCAGGGCCGUAAGUUACGAGCACGUGAGGGGCGACACGGUCUAUUUUUAUCUGCGGCUUGGAUACGGAAAACGUAAAAGUGUGAAGAUUCCAAGGAUAGCAGAGUCUAUUUGGAAUGACAAUUAACAGAUCUGAAUGACAUUUUUGAGUAACGUCCAGUUUGAAAUAAUUAUAGAGUAUCUUAUAUUCCAAAAACCAACAUUGUAAAUGUAGUUCUUCAUUAAUCAUCGAAGUCGUAUCCGUGCUCGUAAUUUUCUAAUUGUUUUGAAUAAUGAUGUGUAAUCUCGAUACACGAUAUACGUUGUGUGCAGUGGAUAUUAUGUUGCACGAAUUAUUGUUAAGAAAAUUGUAGAGCAUUGAUCAAUUUUCUAAAGGGUGCCAAACUCCCGCGUUUACCGACGCGUCCCGUUAACAAAGCGAGCCGAAUUUCAUUCAUAGAUUUGACGGAAAAGGUGGAAAAGAUCCACUGGUGUUUUCCAUAAAUGAUGUAGUUUUAUAAAAAUGUGAAAAAAUAUGUCUUUUACCUCCGCGUCGCGUGGGGUUAUCGAAGUCGCUUAUCGGUAUAGGAAAGCCGUUGGUUAUUUACAGAGUAACCGAUAAUUCAGGUUACGUCUCACUUGGUCCGUUGUAUUCUGGACGUUGAGUCACUGUCCAUGACUCAAGGGGACAGAAAUCUUGUUUGUCGAAAAGCGAAAGGCCUAUUCGAACACGCUCAGUCGAUAUCUCUUUUACCGGUCGCGUUCCGAAGAGCUGCUGUUGUUGCAGCCUCACUGACAAAAUAUAGGAGAUUAGCCGUGCUAACUCGGCACAUUCUGUGUAAUCGAGGCAAACAUAAAUUUCUUCUCCGAUUAGAUAAAAUUACGCGAUAAAAUGCAUUCCAUUCAACAUUGAGAGAUACGGUCAAUUACUCUUCCUCUAUCAAUACCGUCAUUCAUGGUAAAGGAGAAAAAAGAAAAAAAUGCGGCCGAAGGGUAGAUAGGAAUAUUUUUUCUUGUUGGUUUUAGGAUCGAUGGCAGUCGUAGACCUUCGUAAACGUAUUCCAGGGAAUUCGGUGAAGUUUUUUGGUAGCUUGGUGAAGAGGUUUCGUGCCCAAAGCCCCUUAUCAUUCUCCUGUCCGGUGUAGAAUUUUUAGACGACUGGACGGAGAACUGAUAAGGGCCCGAGGGUUACAGAAUCAUCGUGGGACUUGGCAUACUGCUAGAUGCAAAUUCAAGAUGGUGGGAUUUUUAAUAGAAACAAUACAUUAUACUCUUACAGCUCUUUGUAAUGUUUUACCGUAUAAUAAAAAUCUGAAAUAUAUCAUUACUUAGUCUUAUAAAUUAAAAAAAAA
Non-coding RNA from Osmia lignaria (orchard mason bee), 7912 nucleotides. The record is from RefSeq and is a predicted model, not a curated record. NCBI's taxonomy places the organism in Eukaryota, Metazoa, Arthropoda, Insecta, Hymenoptera, Megachilidae.